AGCGAACGCUGGCGGCAGGCUUAACACAUGCAAGUCGAGCGCCGUAGCAAUACGGAGCGGCAGACGGGUGAGUAACACGUGGGAACGUACCUUUUGGUUCGGAACAACACAGGGAAACUUGUGCUAAUACCGGAUAAGCCCUUACGGGGAAAGAUUUAUCGCCGAAAGAUCGGCCCGCGUCUGAUUAGCUAGUUGGUGAGGUAACGGCUCACCAAGGCGACGAUCAGUAGCUGGUCGAGAGGAUGAUCAGCCACACUGGGACUGAGACACGGCCCAGACUCCUACGGGAGGCAGCAGUGGGGAAUAUUGGACAAUGGGCGCAAGCCUGAUCCAGCCAUGCCGCGUGAGUGAUGAAGGCCCUAGGGUUGUAAAGCUCUUUUGUGCGGGAAGAUAAUGACUGUACCGCAAGAAUAAGCCCCGGCUAACUUCGUGCCAGCCGCCGCGGUAAG
RNAcentral lists this ribosomal RNA (449 nucleotides) under uncultured bacterium. Its description in RNAcentral is "bacterial SSU rRNA". It matches the Rfam family "Bacterial small subunit ribosomal RNA", at positions 29 to 524 of the family's 1533-position model. The record is from RNAcentral.